This 185-nucleotide non-coding RNA is filed under the name Hydrogenophilales bacterium 17-61-9. Its description in RNAcentral is "6S RNA". It matches the Rfam family "6S / SsrS RNA". Rfam says of the family: E. coli 6S RNA was the first non coding RNA to be sequenced, but its function was unknown until recently. It consists of 184 nucleotides that fold into an extended hairpin structure with a large single-stranded internal bulge. Lineage: Bacteria; Pseudomonadati; Pseudomonadota; Hydrogenophilia; Hydrogenophilales. The record is from RNAcentral.
CGUUCCCUGCGGUGUUCGAGGCCGGUUGCUAUUUCUCUGAACCAAUGCAUACGUGCAAGGCUGUAGUCUUUUCCGAUGCGGGUGUGCGCGUGACACGUUUCAUGUGCCCAAAACAUCUUUGACCACGGCCGUCUUGGACCCCGGUUCAAGAGUCAGCGACGGGUCACGGCACAGGCGGGGAGCCU